CGUUACCCGGAGUGGAGGACCGAACCGCCAGACGUUGAAAAGUCUUCGGAUGACCUGUGGGUAGGGGUGAAAGGCCAAUCAAACCAAGAGAUAGCUCGUACUCUCCGAAAUGCAUUUAGGUGCAGCCUUGAGCUCUAUAGUUAUAGAGGUAGAGCGACUGAUUGGAUGCGGGGGCUUCACCGCCUACCAAUUCCAGACAAACUCCGAAUGCUAUAACUUUAUACUCAAGAGUGAGGGCAUGGGUGCUAAGGUCCAUGUCCGAGAGGGGAACAACCCAGACCAUCAGCUAAGGUCCCAAAAUUUAUACUAAGUUGACCUAACGUGGUUCGAUUGCAUUGACAGCUAGGAUGUUGGCUUGGAAGCAGCCAUUCAUUUAAAGAGUGCGUAACAGCUCACUAGUCGAGCGAUCGAGCGUGGAUAAUAAUCGGGCAUAAGUAUAAUACCGAAGCUAUGGAUAUGUCUUUGACAUAUGGUAGGAGAGCAUUCUAGUUGCGCCGAAGGUGUGUUGUGAAGCAUGCUGGAGCGGCUAGAAAAGAAAAUGUAGGAAUGAGUAACGAUAAUGCGGGUGAGAAACCCGCACGCCAAUAGACUAAGGUUUCCUGAUCAACGCUAAUCGGAUCAGGGUUAGUCGGGUCCUAAGGCAAACCCGAAUGGGAUAGUCGAUGGACAACUGGUUAAUAUUCCAGUACUAGUUAUUACUGCGAUGGAGUGACGGAGAAGUGAAAGGACUCCGACCAGACGGAAUUGGUCGGUAAAGCACGUAGGUAUAUUUUCUAUAGGCAAAUCCGUAGAGAAUGCUGAAAUGCGAUAGUACUAGGAGGCUUCGGCUGAAUAGAUUGUCUGUAAUCAUGCUCCCAAGAAAAACUUCUAAGCAUCACGUAAUAACUACCCGUACCAUAAACCGACACAGGUAGUCAAGUAGAGAAUACUAAGGCGCUCGAGUGAUCCGUGGCUAAGGAACUAGGCAAAAUGGCCUCGUAACUUCGGGAGAAGAGGCGCUUACUCAUGUUUACAUGAGAAGCCGCAGUGAAUAGGCCCAAGCGACUGUUUAUCAAAAACACAGGACUAUGCUAAAUCGAAAGAUGAUGUAUAUGGUCUGACACCUGCCCGGUGCCGGAAGGUUAAGAGGAGGGGUUAUACUUCGGUAGAAGCUCUGAAUUGAAGCCCCGGUAAACGGCGGCCGUAACUAUAACGGUCCUAAGGUAGCGAAAUUCCUUGUCGGGUAAGUUCCGACCUGCACGAAUGGUGUAACGAUUUGGGCACUGUCUCAGCCACGAGCUCGGUGAAAUUGUAGUAUCGGUGAAGAUGCCGAUUACCCGCAACGGGACGAAAAGACCCCGUGAACCUUCACUACAACUUAACAUUGAUUUCGGAUAAAUAAUGUGUAGGAUAGGUGGGAGACUACGAAGCUGCGUCGCUAGG
This 1422-nucleotide ribosomal RNA is filed under the name marine metagenome. RNAcentral describes it as "bacterial LSU rRNA". It matches the Rfam family "Bacterial large subunit ribosomal RNA", at positions 754 to 2175 of the family's 2925-position model. The record is from RNAcentral.